This 374-nucleotide ribosomal RNA is filed under the name Schistosoma mansoni. RNAcentral's name for it is "partial 16S ribosomal RNA". The stretch from base 14 to 304 matches the Rfam family "Bacterial large subunit ribosomal RNA", at positions 2072 to 2648 of the family's 2925-position model. Lineage: Eukaryota; Metazoa; Platyhelminthes; Trematoda; Strigeidida; Schistosomatidae. The record is from RNAcentral.
AACCCACUAUUAUAUUAUUAGACGGAAAGACCCCAAGAGCUUUUUUUGUGUAAGAUUUGUUUGGGGUAAAUGUAGAUUAUUCAUUUAUUUUUGGAUCCUUUAUGGAUAAAGGAUAAAGUUACCUUGGGGAUAACUGAGUAAAGGGCAGGGAGAGGUCCNUCCUAUUGAUCUGUUUAUUACUACCUCGAUGUUGGCUUGUUGAACCUUUUCGGUGUAGAGGCUGGAAAAGGAAGUCUGUUCGACUUUUAAAUCUUCAUGAGUUGAGUUAAGACCGGUGUAAGCCAGGUUGGUUCUUAUCUAUAAUUGGUUCUAAUUAGUACGAAAGGAUUAUUAGGAUACAGUGUUUCUGUAUGCAUGGGAAUAGGAAAUAUACA